This 49-nucleotide transfer RNA is filed under the name Gelasia caespitosa. RNAcentral's name for it is "partial tRNA-His". The record is from RNAcentral. Lineage: Eukaryota; Viridiplantae; Streptophyta; Magnoliopsida; Asterales; Asteraceae.
GGCGGAUGUAGCCAAGUGGAUCAAGGCAGUGGAUUGUGAANCCACCCAU